GACACAAACACUGUCGAAUUCAUAAUUUAAAAAUGGCUGGUUUCUGGAACUUAAUUCUGAUCUUCAGUGCCAUCUAUCCAGUCCAACCUGGUAGACGCUGGGUUACUGCACAAUCCCUCAAAGAGUCAGGAGUUUAUCAGCCUGAUAAAGAGCUCAGUGUGGAUUUCGGAGACUCGGCGACUCUGCAGUGUUGUGUUUCUGAAAAGAAAUUUGGGAUGAUGGCCUGGUUUAAGCAGCCAACAAGAAAAAAACCUCAAUUUAUUGUCAAAUUCUUUAAAACUUCUGGAGAAACAUUUGGCAGUGGAUUCCAAAAGUCACGUUUCCAAAUAGAAAGAUCUUCAAACUGCUUCAAUUUGACCAUUUUAAACACCACUCAGUCUGAUGAAGCCAUGUACUACUGUGCACUGAUGACACCCAACCUUGUGUUUGCAGAUGGAACGUAUUUAAAAAUUAAAGUGGGCUGUGAACCAACAUUGCAUGGAAACAGCACUAACACGAACACACAAGAGAAAACAGUGCUCGGUUUGGGAACGGCUUUGGGUUUGUGUGCACUUCUGAUUCUCUGCCUCAUUUAUUUCAUACUGAGGAGAAGAAAAUGGGAUAAAAUGAACACUUCUCGAGAAGAUUCUUCAGGAAUUAGGCAGGAAUUUAAGACUGAAACGGUGAAUUAUGCAGCUUUACAAUUUCCCCUGAGGAAAGCCAAAGCUGAAAAAAGGAAAAUUGUUUUAUCAGAGAAUUGUGUGUACUCUGAUGUGAAAUAAAAUUGUUCUUAUGUAACAUUAAUGAUUGGAGAUUUUUCUUCUGUACACAUAUUAAUUUAUAUAUGUAAUGCCACUACCAUUGCACCUGAGUUGAA
Non-coding RNA from Neoarius graeffei (lesser salmon catfish), 856 nucleotides. The record is from the annotation of a RefSeq genome assembly. Lineage: Eukaryota; Metazoa; Chordata; Actinopteri; Siluriformes; Ariidae.